UCGAUUUGGAGUUUGUUGCCUAGAGUGAUGGGCACCGAAGCUAACGCGAUAAAUCGACCGCCUGGGGAGUACGGCCGCAAGGUUAAAACUCAAAUGAAUUGACGGGGGCCCGCACAAGCGGUGGAGCAUGUGGUUUAAUUCGAUGCAACGCGAAGAACCUUACCUGGUCUUGACAUCCACAGAAUCUUGCAGAGAUGCGAGAGUGCCUUCGGGAACUGUGAGACAGGUGCUGCAUGGCUGUCGUCAGCUCGUGUUGUGAAAUGUUGGGUUAAGUCCCGCAACGAGCGCAACCCUUAUCCUUUGUUGCCAUUGGUUCGGCCGGGAACUCAAAGGAGACUGCCGUUGAUAAAGCGGAGGAAGGUGGGGACGACGUCAAGUCAUCAUGGCCCUUACGACCAAGGCUACACACGUGCUACAAUGGCGUAUACAAAGGGAGGCGACCUCGCGAGAGCAAGCGGACCUCAUAAAGUACGUCUAAGUCCGGAUUGGAGUCUGCAACUCGACUCCAUGAAGUCGGAAUCGCUAGUAAUCGUGAAUCAGAAUGUCACGGUGAAUACGUUCCCGGGCCU
Molecule: ribosomal RNA, 569 nt
Filed under: uncultured Gammaproteobacteria bacterium
Lineage: Bacteria; Pseudomonadati; Pseudomonadota; Gammaproteobacteria
Description: bacterial SSU rRNA
Rfam family: Bacterial small subunit ribosomal RNA
Source: RNAcentral